CUUUCACUAGCCGUUCAAAAAGGGACACCUCAAGGUUGAAGUUCUUGGCCAGAUCAUACACGUUGGCACUGUACCUGCUGGUGGUCCCCAAUCAAAAUGAGGUGCUGGCAAGCUUUGCUCAAUGUGGCAAUGGUAUGGGCCUCAAGGACUUCCGCAGCUUCUUCCACUAUGACAAUCCUCGGCUCCACCUUCUGUAGGAUCUGGCGGUAUUUGGCAGCACCUC
RNAcentral lists this long non-coding RNA (223 nucleotides) under Homo sapiens (human). RNAcentral's name for it is "long non-coding RNA NONHSAT188878". The record is from RNAcentral. Lineage: Eukaryota; Metazoa; Chordata; Mammalia; Primates; Hominidae.